This 406-nucleotide ribosomal RNA is filed under the name uncultured bacterium. Its description in RNAcentral is "partial 16S ribosomal RNA". It matches the Rfam family "Bacterial small subunit ribosomal RNA", at positions 30 to 526 of the family's 1533-position model. The record is from RNAcentral.
AUUGAACGCUGGCGGCAGGCCUAACACAUGCAAGUCGAACGAGCGGCGGACGGGUGAGUAAUGUCUGGGAAACUGCCCGAUGGAGGGGGAUAACUACUGGAAACGGUAGCUAAUACCGCAUACUGUCGGAUGUGCCCAUAUGGGAUUAGCUUGUAGGUGAGGUAAUGGCUUACCUAGGCGACGAUCCCUAGCUGGUCUGAGAGGAUGAUCAGCCACACUGGGACUGAGACACGGUCCAGACUCCUACGGGAGGCAGCAGUGGGGAAUAUUGCACAAUGGGCGCAAGCCUGAUGCAGCCAUGCCGCGUGUAUGAAGAAGGCCUUAGGGUUGUAAAGUACUUUCAGUGGGGAGGCGUUACCCGCAGAAGAAGCACCGGCUAACUCCGUGCCAGCAGCCGCGGUAAUAC